This 467-nucleotide ribosomal RNA is filed under the name uncultured bacterium. Its description in RNAcentral is "partial 16S ribosomal RNA". It matches the Rfam family "Bacterial small subunit ribosomal RNA", at positions 29 to 507 of the family's 1533-position model. The record is from RNAcentral.
ACGAACGCUGGCGGCGUGCUUAACACAUGCCAGUCGAACGGAAAGGCCCUGCUUUUGUGGGGUGCUCGAGUGGCGAACGGGUGAGUAACACGUGAGUAACCUGCCCUUGACUUUGGGAUAACUUCAGGAAACUGGGGCUAAUACCGGAUAGGAGCUCCUGCUGCAUGGUGGGGGUUGGAAAGUUUCGGCGGUUGGGGAUGGACUCGCGGCUUAUCAGCUUGUUGGUGGGGUAGUGGCUUACCAAGGCUUUGACGGGUAGCCGGCCUGAGAGGGUUACCGGCCACAUUGGGACUGAGAUACGGCCCAGACUCCUACGGGAGGCAGCAGUGGGGAAUAUUGCACAAUGGGCGGAAGCCUGAUGCAGCAACGCCGCGUGCGGGAUGACGGCCUUCGGGUUGUAAACCGCUUUCGCCUGUGACGAAGCGUGAGUGACGGUAAUGGGUAAAGAAGCACCGGCUAACUACGUG